UUUCAUUUUCAGCAGUAUUGAUUCUUAACCAUGUCAAAUACAACAACUUCAUCAACUCGAAAGGAUAUUGCUUGGAAUUAUGCAACAUGUUCGGAUCCUAAAAACCCAAAUGUUGUUGGUUGUAUUUUCUGUGAUAAAAUAACAAAUGGUGGAAUUUAUCGACACAAGCUACAUUUAGUUGGGGGCAAUAGAAAUGUAAAAGCUUGUCCGAAAUGUCCCGAGCAUGUUAAAGAAGAAAUUAGAGAGUUCAUGCAAAAAAAGAGUAAUUUGAAGAAUCAAAUGGAUGAAAUUCCUCAUUCUGAUGAUGUUGAUAAUUUGGAAGAUUUGGAAGAACAUGAAGAAGAUGAUCAUCAAACUAAAGUGAAAGGGAAACGACCAAUAUCUGAUUCAAGCAACCAUCCUACGGUCCAAGGUAAAAAGUGCAAACAAACUGGACCUAUUAACCUUUAUUUUAUGAAAGAUGUCGAUGAAAUUGUCAAGCAAAGACGUGCAAAAAAUAAAGGACAAUUUGAUGAAAAUAAAAAGAAGUUAAGAGAUAUUGCAGUUGAGAAAUUUGCAAGAUGGAUGUAUGAUGCUGGAAUUCCCUUCAAUGCUGUAAAAUAUGAUUCUUUUGAGCCUUGUAUUGAAGCUAUUGGACAAUUUGGAUCAGGGAUGAAACCUCCAUCAUAUCAUGAAGUGAGGGUUAAGUAUUUGAAGAAGGAGUUGGCAAAUACGAACUCGCUUCUCAAAUCCCAUGAAGAAGAUCAUGCUAAGUUUGGGUGCACAAUCAUGGCAGAUGGAUGGACCGAUAAAAAGGGUAGGACUCUUAUAAAUUUUUUGGUGAAUGGUCCCAAAGGAAGUGUAUUUGUCGAAUCAGUUGAUGCUUCAGGCUAUUCUCACACAGCGGACAAGAUGUUUGAGUUACUCUCUAAAUUUGUGUAUCGCAUUGGAGAAAAAAAUGUGGUUUAAAUUGUAACAGAUAAUCCAUGCUGUAAUGUCAGUGCAGGUGAUAUUUUAAAUUUUUGUUACUUUCAAGUUUCAAUUAUAAUUGAAUUAUAUUUUUAAUAUUUUUUAUUAAAUUUAUUUGUUUUUUCAGGUCGUCUUUUGGAAAACCGAUUUCCACACUUGUACUGGACUCCCUGUGCAGCACAUUGUUUAGAUUUGUUGCUCGAGGAUAUAUUCAAAAUUCCUCAUCUCAGAAAAUUGCAUGAACGAGCGUUGAUGGUUAAUGGUUAUAUUUACAACAGACCACAAGUAUUGAGCAUGAUGAGAGAGUUUACUGGACAGAGAGACAUGGUAAGAACCGCAAAGACACGUUUCGCAACCGCUUUUUUAACUUUAAAGCGAUUUCAUGUACAACAAGCAAAUUUGAGAAAGAUGUUUACAUCUGAAAAGUGGGCAAAUAGUCGAUUUUCUAAGGAGGUUGCAGGAAAACGUGUAGCAGAAGUGAUAUUGAUGCCUUCUUUUUGGAAAAAUAUGGUUUUUGCAUUAAAGGUUGGUGGCCCAUUGGUGAAAGUAUUACGGCUGGUAGAUGGUGAAAAAAGGUCUCCUAUGGGUUAUAUCUAUGAGUCAAUGGACAGGGCCAAAGAAGCUAUCGCUGCAUCAUUUAACAAUAAUGAAGAGAAAUAUCGUAGCAUUUUUGAACUCAUUGACAAAAGAUGGAACAUUCAACUCCAUCGACCUUUGCACGCAGCUGGAUAUUUCUUGAAUCCAGAGUGUUUUUACUCAAACUCUGAUAUAGAAAAUGAUACAGAAGUGAUGGAGGGUUUGUACAAGUGCAUAUCCAGAUUAGUGAGAGGUGAGGAUUUACAAGAUAAGAUCACGAAUCAAUUGGAAAAAUACAAGAAAGCAGAAGGACUUUUUGGUUUGCCAAUGGCUAUCCGACAAAGAACUUUAAAAUCACCAGCUGAUUGGUGGUCUUCUUAUGGUGCAUCAACUCCUGAAUUAAAAACUUUUGCAAUGAAGAUUUUAAACCUCACAUGCUCUUCUUCAGGCUGUGAACGUAAUUGGAGUGUUUUUGAACAUGUAAGUUGGAAUUUUUUUUAUACAUAUUAAAACUUAUAUUAUGAACUUAACCUUUUACUUUUUAAUUUUGUUUUGUAGAUGCAUUCUAAGAAAAGAAAUAGGUUGUCUCAACAACGAUUGAAUGAUUUGGUAUAUAUCAAGUACAAUAGAGCUUUGAGGAGAAGAUAUGACAUGCGAGACAAAAUUGAUCCUAUUACUUUGUCAGAGAUAGAUGAUAGUAAUGAAUGGUUGUUGGGUAAAUUGGAUGACAGUGAUAAAGACAAUGAUAAUGAUUUUGUCUACGAAGGUGAAGAUUUGCGUUGGAGUGAUGUAGCACGAGCAUCUGGGGUUGGUGAAAGUGCAUAUGGCUUUCGAUCUCGAAAUGCAGCUUCUUCAAAAGGGGCAUCAUUAUCUGCAUCAGCAAAAAGAAAACUAUCUUCAGCUCAAACUAGUCUUGUUAAUGAAAAAGAAAUUAAUCUUGAUGAUGAAACUGAAGAAGAGGAUGGAUACAAAUCAAGCGAUGGAGCUGAUGACGUAGAUUUGGACAAUGAAGAUGAAGAAGAUGAUUAUUUUGAUAUUUGAUAUUUCCUCUAUUAUAUUUUCAAAGACUUGUGAUUUUCAAUAAUCUACAACUUCAUCAAAGAAUAUUUGUUUUGGUUAUUUGGAUUUUCAAAGACAUUUUGAAAGAUUUUUAAUAAAUAUAAGAGUCAUAUUGUUUAUUACGCUUUUUUUCCAUAAAGCCCGCGCUUCGCCUUGCGCUUUAAGCCCCAAGACCCUUGAGCGCUUUUUUGCGCCUCUCGCUUUUGAUAACUAUGGAUAAAAACUUAACCAAUUGAAGGCGCCUUAAACCCUCUUGAAGGCACCUUCCAUCCUUGGAUAAGAUUUUCUAGGAGUGAUAAAAUGACCCUGGAGGUAGGAAAUAAAUAACAAUUGUAACUACAACUCUUGUAAUCUUUCCUAAUCUAUUUUCUGAGCUGUCAACGUCUAUAAGAGACUUCUCCGCCUGUAACGAAGGAGAUCUACUAGUGCUCUUCAGUGCCUUGGAUUAAUAAUCAUUUAGGUUGUAAUUAAGUUAAUUUCUUGGUCUCUUCUAUUUUUAGUUGUUCAAUUUCUUUUGUUAUAAUUGUGCUACUAAUCCGAGUUGAGAGAUUGGGAAAGGUUAAUUUUUAUUUUAUAGGCAAUUCACUCCGCUCUUGCUUGCCUCGCUUGAAGAAAAUUCCGAGAGACACGUUUAAGAUGGUACGGACAUGUACACGACCAAUAAUGUUCCAGUUAGGCGAUGUGAAACUAUGACAAAUGUCCAUAUCAAACAAGGAAGAGGAAGACCAAAAAAGACUUGGUUAGCAAUAAUAAAACAAGAUAAAAUUUAUUUAAAUAUAAAUGAUGAUAUAGUAGGGGAUCAAGAUCAAUGACGUAGAAAGAUCCAUGUAACCAACCUCAUCUAGUGGGAUAAAGAUUGAUUGUUGUUUUAUUAGAAGUUAGUGGAGAGGACAUGGAGUUUCAUUGCUUACACUAGACAUAAUUUCUUAUAUUGUACUCUUCUAGCCUACAAAUUGCAUGAACAUAUGCUCUAUAGUUUGCAAGUGCAAAACAGCACUAUCAGUGUGACUGAAAUUUAUUAUUUUGAUUAUGGACUGAUAUUGAUACUUUAUUAGAACAAGUAAAUGUCAUUGUGUCUCUGCUGACAUAGUUUUGUUGGUAACAACCAAAAUAAGAUCUGUCUUGGUGUACCUUUAGAAAUAUUUUCAUGACUCAUACUUUGAUUUUGUUUGUCAGUCAUGAGAAUGAGAUGAAACACUAAAUUUAGAGAGGAAGGAAAGAGAAGAAUUAGUGAGUGACACUAGUUAAGACAUGAAGAUUCUUAUCCUUCGAUUUGUCUGGGGUUAUGGAAGGAAAUAAAAACACAAGAAAGAGAAGGGUAAGGAAGAGGAGAUGAACUAGCAAAACACUAAUAAUAACAAAAAGGAGUAACAAGAAUUAUGUUAGUCUUAAGUCCAAGUCCAUUCCUAGUGGCUAAUAAAAAUGUAUCAAUGGAGAUGUGAAAAAAAAUUUCUGAGAGUAUUAUUUGUAUGGUUCUUAAAAGUUAUGGAAUUAAUCUAAAUAAAUGUUGCAAAUCCCAUGCGCUUAUCUAAUGUAAAAAGAUGCUUGUUAUAUUUUUGUAAGAUGUUGCUCCAAAAUUAUAAUUUACUUUCAAUAUCU
Zingiber officinale is the source of this 4182-nucleotide RNA transcript. RefSeq lists it as uncharacterized. The record is from RefSeq and is a predicted model, not a curated record. Lineage: Eukaryota; Viridiplantae; Streptophyta; Magnoliopsida; Zingiberales; Zingiberaceae. The transcript has 2 exons.